UACGGGGGGGGCAAGCGUUGUUCGGAAUUAUUGGGCGUAAAGAGCUCGUAGGCGGUUUGUCGCGUCUGCCGUGAAAGUCCGGGGCUCAACUCCGGAUCUGCGGUGGGUACGGGCAGACUAGAGUGAUGUAGGGGAGACUGGAAUUCCUGGUGUAGCGGUGAAAUGCGCAGAUAUCAGGAGGAACACCGAUGGCGAAGGCAGGUCUCUGGGCAUUAACUGACGCUGAGGAGCGAAAGCAUGGGGAGCGAACAGG
Molecule: ribosomal RNA, 253 nt
Filed under: uncultured bacterium
Lineage: Bacteria
Description: partial 16S ribosomal RNA
Rfam family: Bacterial small subunit ribosomal RNA
Source: RNAcentral